UUCAUCGCUCCACCAGCAACGAGUAAACAGACUUCUGUGUGGAUGUCGUAAGGCGCUAAAUUGUAGCUUUAAACAUUAAAUGAUAUAAACUAUCAGCGGUGGUAGAAACGCUUGCGGCGGAUAAUUUCUAGAAGCCAACAGCAUAAAGCACAUUUAAGGCUUUGUAACACUACAAUGGCAGCUGAGCGGCUGCUGAACGCGGUAACGUCUGUGCUAUGCUGAGCUAACAUGCGAAGCUAAGUGCUAGCCUCGGCUAACGUCAGUCGGUGUCAGUUGAAGUGUCAGAGUGCCGCGGGACCUCCCCCGGUCAUGGCAGCGGGAGCAGGAGCCGCUUCUGGCGGAUCCAUGGAGUCUACUCUAGCCAGGAAGUUUCAAACUGUCACAAAUACGAUGGAUUCAAUUCAAGGACUGUCAACGUGGUGCAUCGACAACAAGAAGUACCACAGCCUGAUCGUGCGACACUGGAUGAAGUGUUUGAAGAAAUCUGAUGCCCCUCACAGACUCAACCUGUUUUACCUCGCCAAUGAUGUCAUUCAGAACUGUAAAAGGAAAAAUGCCAUCGUCUAUCGUACAGCGUUUGCUGAGGUGCUUCCUGAAGCCUUCUUGCUGGUCAACCAUGAAGGUGACCCCAAAGUGAUCAAAGCAGUGGAAAGGAUACUGUCCAUCUGGGAGGACAGGGGUGUGUAUUCAGGGACGCUCAUUGCUGAGCUGAGGAGUACCUUAGUCAAAGAGGAGUCCCCUCCUGAGACACCUGUGGAGCAAAAAACUCCAAUUGAGUCUAAAGCAGAUCUACGAUCCAAGAUUGUUGCUGAGUUUGUGCCCCAGACAUUAAUAGACCAACUGUCCAAGUACAAGAGAUCUCUGGAGGAGGUGGACCUCAGAGAAAAACAGCUGGCAGCAAUGAGGGUCGACAUCUGCAGCUCUGAUGCCCUCAAGAAACUCAAAGACAAGGCCGGAGGAAAGAAGUUCUCCAAGGACUUUGAGGAAGGAAGUGCUCAGCUACAGGAGUUUGUCAAGUUUCUUGACAAGCAAAGCAAAACAGGACCUCCUCUCCUAGAGGCCCUCAGCAAUGCAGAUAUCUUCUAUGAGAUGCAGUACAAGGAGGUCAAGAUUGUUGCUAAUGCCUACCAAACGUUUGCUAACCGGGUGUCCCACCUCAAGCGUAAGUUGGACACCCUGAAGUCCACCUUACCAGACCUGGACGAGUCGCCCAUCCCCUCACCCUCUGCAGACGCACCGUCUCCGACAGGCUCAGAGUCCCCUUUCCAUGGUCUGGACAUGGCAGGUCCAGAUUUUGACGACUCUGUUAUGGAUGAUGAGGCGGAGCCACCGGCCCCGAGCCCCCUCUCCUCACUGGGAGGAUCCCCUAGACGCCCAGAGACUGUCGGACAGAAUGACAAUCGUGAAGUGGAGGACAUGGAGCUUUCCGAGGAGGAGAUAGACAGUGGUGGCAUUAUAGUUGAGGAUCAGACUGAAGGGCCCGCCCAGCCAGAGACGUCCGCUCCAGUCCCUGCAAAUAAGAAGGCAUCAGUAGCAUCGGAGCAGCCUGUCACACAGGUCACGCCCCCCGCAGACGCUCCUGUGGCAGCUGUGAAAAGUGUCGACUUGGGUAAAAUUGGCUCCAUCCUCAACAGCUUAAGCUCAGCUAUGAAGAGCACAGGACCAUUGGUAGAGAGUCCCCCUGCAGCUGCCCCUGCCAACUCCUCAGUGAGGACCACACCUGCUGUCUCUGUGGCCCCUGAGGAUGCUAGUUCACUGGUAAACCUCCUUUCCAAGGUGGACGUGAGUCCUGCAGACCUCCUCGGUGCUCUGUCCAAAGUCCAAGGCCAAGGCAGCCUUGAGGGCAUCACCUCUAUUCUGAGCAGCCCAGCUACCAAUGUCACGUCAGCGUCCUGCAGUACAGGCAAGAUUCCUCCCUCUCCCUCAUCCACAUCUGCAUCAGCAGUGCCCUCUCAGAGCCCAUCUCUCUCCUCUGUUACACCUGUGCCUUCCUCACACAGCUCCACUGUAAGGCGGAGCACAAGCUCUCAAGCCCCCCCUCAGACUUCCAACCAAGCCUCUGCCCUGGUCCAGGCUCUCCAUAGAGACAUGGAUUUGACAACAGACCUGGAACCAUCCCUGUCCUCUAAGAGUUUAGAGUCUAAAAUCCACAACUUCCUGCAGGGCAACCCUGCUUUUAGUGCAUUUGACCUGGGUUUCUCCACAAACCCAGCGGGAGGGGAAAACCUCAGUCCAGCAACUGGCGCAGACACCCAGGAAGGGACUCCAGUGCGGGACGAGGGUGGUGGCACCCCAACUCAAGAUGAAAUCAUGGACAAACCUGUGGUGCUCCCAUUCAGUUCCAACGCAAGCCAGUCAUCUAUUGGAGAAACAGCCCACAUUGCAUACCAGAAUAGCACUCAGAUGAACUUCAACAGUUCCCAACAGCAAGCUCACAUGCAGCCCGGGUUGGCUCAGAAUGGGCAGGUCUACCAGCCACACCAGCAGAUUUCUGCACAAACGGGAGGGCCAGUGUCUGGAGAAAGAGCCCCAGGCAGCUCCAGUAGCGCACAGACAGUUGAAGGCUUUCAGGGGGUGAGUGAAAGGGGGUGGUAUAGUGACAUUUACCCAGAAGGGGGCUCUCAGCAGCCCAGAGGCUACAGUGUGACAUUGCCUGGAGGACCUGGAGAAAACACGAUGUCAGGACUUUAUCCAUACCAGACAGAGCAAGCGAGGGAACCUCAGGAGUUUGCCUCCCAGCAGACCCCACCCCCCAGUUUCUACUCAAGCAACCUCCCUCCUUUCCCAAAGUUACCUCCCCCUCCUCGCACCUUUGACGCCCCUCCUCCUGCGAGCACCAGUGCGAUGAUUCCCCCAGAGACGGGGGCCAGAGUCGAAAGCGCCAUCAGUGGGAUGGUGGUGCACGACCAUCAGCACAGGUCCAUGUUUCAUUCAAAUGAUCCGAUGUAUGAACUCAGCCUACCUCGCCCUCGUCACCCAGAGGAUUUACACCCACACCCGGACGACCUGCGCUAUCUGGAGGACCGUGAUCGGUACCAAGAUGAGCUCCACCGGCAUGACGCCCCUCUCUAUCAGGAGGACACUUACCGCCACCCAGAUGAUCCAUAUUACAGGCCAGGCAGCCCUCCACACCACCCCAGAGGUCGGGGCAUCACUCCCCCACUCUCACCCUCAGAGGAACCUUACUAUGCCCGUGAAUACCAGCGGCACAGCCCCCCUCCUCCGCACUACACUCCAAGAAGGCCGCCACCUCAUCUUGAGAUCCGCCAUCCUGGUCUACGACCUCCACAUCGGCCUCCCCAUCCAGCACCCCACCCUCACCCAAGGGGUCCACCACGUGCACCUUUUCCACGGUUCCACGGCCCUGAUUUGAGGUUAAGAGGGAAACGUCCAGGCCCCCUUGGACCUGGACGAGGAGGGGGCCAUGCUGGUCCAAUGUUCCCCCCCAAAAGACCCUUUCCACCCCCACGGUACUGACUGGAGAUGUUGCUCUCUAAAUCACCGUGGAUGUCAUGAAGGCAAGGGGCAGGACUGAACGAUUGUUCAAGUCACUCAGUGUUGAGGAACACACCCAGCCACGAGAGGCCUCUGAAAAUCUGAAAGGGCAAAUGUCAGUGGAUCAAACUGCAGACACUGGGGGGGGGCAUCAGAGGACAAGGUUACGCUAAAGAAGAAAAUUCAGCAGCUACCAGAUGAAAACUGAAAAUGGCAGUUGAGGAGAGCGAGAGACAACACCAAGAGAUGUAAAAGAAAGCGGAGAGGCUCUGAGAGGGGCUGCUGAGCUGAAGAGUGAAGACCGAAGAUUAAAGAAAAUAAGAGGGAUCCGGAGCCACACUUUGAUGUGUCUGAUGUGAUGGCAACCUUUCCCACAUGUUAAAUGAUGGAGGAGAGGCAAGGUGGUGGAGGAGGAGGAGGAGGUGUGUGCUGUGCUGUGGUGGCUCUCCUCUUUGAAUCCUGCACAGCUCCCAGUGAUGAUGGCUCUUCAUGGUCUGACAUGAGCGCAGCUGAUUUUGUGUUGGAGAGGACUCACAGGAGAGUGGCUGGAUAGAAGGCUGGACAGAGACGCCCACAUGAAGUAAGU
Molecule: RNA transcript, 4081 nt
Organism: Lates calcarifer (barramundi perch)
Lineage: Eukaryota; Metazoa; Chordata; Actinopteri; Centropomidae
Gene: celf3a
Gene name: cugbp, Elav-like family member 3a
Exons: 12
Source: RefSeq, a predicted model, not a curated record